Molecule: non-coding RNA, 95 nt
Filed under: human gut metagenome
Source: RNAcentral
CAAAAGGGGAGCUUGCAGAUAAGCAGGCUGAGAGUAGGCUGUAUUGCCUUGACCCAUUACCUGAUUUGGAUAAUGCCAACGUAGGGAUAUAGCAA